GUGAGGCCAUUAGUGCCUCGGCCAGUGUGCUGCCACCCUCCUCGGGCGACGUGCCGCCACUAUUGGUGCCGCUUCCGGUGGAGGAGGUCUUCUUCCUUCGUUUUUUGUGCUGAACAUAUUUUUCUCUCUCUUAAUCAGAUUUUUCUACUUGGCAUAAAUCCAACGACCCCCUUUUUCUAUAAAUAGGGGCCCUUCCUUCCCAUUUUCUCCACAGUUCAAUUCUUCUACCUUUU
This 233-nucleotide long non-coding RNA is filed under the name Carica papaya (papaya). RNAcentral's name for it is "long non-coding RNA (CPAP_LNC011606)". Lineage: Eukaryota; Viridiplantae; Streptophyta; Magnoliopsida; Brassicales; Caricaceae. The record is from RNAcentral.